GUGGGGAAUAUUGGACAAUGGGGGAAACCCUGAUGCAGCGACGCCGCGUGAGUGAAGAAGUAUUUCGGUACGUAAAGCUCUAUCAGCAAGGAAGAAAAUGACGGUACUUGACUAAGAAGCCCCGGCUAACUACGUGCCAGCAGCCGCGGUAAUACGUAGGGGGCAAGCGUUAUCCGGAUUUACUGGGUGUAAAGGGAGCGUAGACGGUAUGGUAAGUCAGAUGUGAAAGCCCGGGGCUCAACCCCGGGACUGCAUUUGAAACUAUCAGACUAGAGUGCAGGGGAGGUAAGUGGAAUGCCUAGUGUAGCGGUGAAAUGCGUAGAUAUUAGGAGGAACACCAGUGGCGAAGGCGGCUUACUGGACUGUAACUGACGUUGAGGCUCGAAAGCGUGGGGAGCAAACAGGAUUAGAUACCCCGGUAGUCC
This 425-nucleotide ribosomal RNA is filed under the name uncultured bacterium. RNAcentral describes it as "partial 16S ribosomal RNA". It matches the Rfam family "Bacterial small subunit ribosomal RNA", at positions 354 to 796 of the family's 1533-position model. The record is from RNAcentral.